This 72-nucleotide transfer RNA is filed under the name Camelus bactrianus (Bactrian camel). It matches the Rfam family "tRNA". Rfam says of the family: Transfer RNA (tRNA) molecules are approximately 80 nucleotides in length. The record is from Rfam by way of RNAcentral. RNAcentral also lists the same sequence under 2 other names. Lineage: Eukaryota; Metazoa; Chordata; Mammalia; Artiodactyla; Camelidae.
GGGCCUAUAGCUCAGUGGUAGAGCGCAGGCUUAGCAUGCAUGAGGUCCUGGGUUGGAUUCCCAGUACCUCCA